This is a long non-coding RNA of Meriones unguiculatus (Mongolian gerbil), 1897 nucleotides long. RefSeq lists it as uncharacterized. The record is from RefSeq and is a predicted model, not a curated record. Lineage: Eukaryota; Metazoa; Chordata; Mammalia; Rodentia; Muridae. The transcript is spliced from 4 exons.
AAACAAAUAGAAAAAGAACUAGAAGUAUCCAGCCGGAGGUGUGGGGAAUGGUUCUAAACCGUUGCUGUUUACAAUGGCUUUUACAGAACAGUGACUGCUUCAUCUAGAUACCCAUGUCAGCCCAGAAAACAAAAAGCAUAUUCCAAGAAGUAACAGGCAGUGGAAAUCCUGGAUUUGACUCAAGCUGUGAGUCCAGAUGCAGCUUCUGGAGGUACAGAAGCAACAGCCCUGGCUCAUCCACCCGGCAGGGAACCACCGCGCUGACACUGUGAACCCAAACAUCCUGACCUCCACCUCAGAGCUCAGCACUGCCACAUCUUGCUGACUCCUACAGAAAGAAGGGCUGCGGCCGCUUCCAUCUCCUCCAGCCGUGCGGACUCCGCAGAGCCCCACAGACGGCAGAAAACACUGGCUCGUUCUGUAGUUGUUAAGUAAGUAACAGUCCUGUUGCAGCAACUUUCAGCCGCUUCUGGAGCUGCAAGUGAAACGGUCCAUCUGCGGAGAGCCAGUCAGAGCUCAGAGAUGCUAAACAAAGGCUGAGAAAAUUCUCCCAAAUGCACAUGCUUGGCCUCUGAACGCCACGCCCUUGCAUGGAGCCUUGAGUUCUCAAAGGCACGUCUAGGGACUGGUCAGUUAGGUCACUUGGUGAAGUGUGUCCCUGGAAAGCAUGAAGAUAGAGCUCGUUGUCCCCAGCACUUACCAAAAAGAAGACGACAUGGGCACAGCGUUCGUAUAAGCCCACGGCUUCUGGAAGUGAUGGAGCUGCCUGGACCUGCUGUUGGACAUGCCUUCAGAUGACCCCCCUUCGGAAGCAGUUCUUCUAAAGUCUCCACAUCUCAGGAAGCCAAUGGGGCUGGACAGGCCCAGCUGUGUGCUCCAGCUCACCGUGUCAGUGUCAGCACGCACACUAUACCCGUGGCUAGGUACAUGUGGAAGAGACCAUAGGUCUUUGAUUCCACAAGCUCAACAUGGCAGAAGGACAAAGGGACUGAGAUGUGCUCUUCAAACUCCUACUAGAGACACUAAAUCCGUUCCCAAGGGCUCUGCCUCAUGACACAAAUAUCUAACGGGCCUGACUCCUAACACCAUGUAUACUUCUGGCAACAGUGGGAGCAUGGCAGGGGUGCAGCUGUCUGUCACAAUUCCUCUGCACCCAGCAACUUCAUUUGCUUGCACUUUAAGUGCUCCCAAUAAGGAGAAAGAGAGCCUGACCAUUGGGACUGCUCAUCUCAAGGGAACUAACUUCAGGUCCUCCAUGCUCAGAGGCUCAGCCAAAACAAGCCUCGGGCAAAUAACUUAAGUGUUUACCCACAGAGAACAGGUAGGCCACACCAGCUCAGGAAUUCUAAACUCCUGCAACUUCCAAAACAACCCAGUGGUGAGGGCAAAUUAAAAACAAUGCCGUGCACCCGGAAUGCUGCUAGUUGAUGCUUCCAGAGAGAAUAAAGAUAAACAAAAAAUAUUCCCAAACCUGGUUCCCGUUCACUCUGAGAGAAUCCAGCUCAUUCCUUCAUAAGGAAAAUUAGGGGCCUGGGAGGUAUAGCUCAAUGGGGUGAGAGCUUGCCUAGCACCAGAGCCCUGGGUUCAAUGCCCAGCACCACAUAAACUGGGUGUGGUGGUACACAUCCAUAAUCCCAGCACUCAGGGGAUAGAAGCAGGAAGUUCAGAAGUUGAAGAACAUCCCUAGCUACCCAGCAAAUUCCACAUCCACCUGGGAUACAUAAGACCCUGUCUGAAACAACAAGAAUCUUGGUUGGCCUAGCCUACAUUAGGCAUACGAAGAGUUUGUCUUCUAGGUCAUUUAAAUACUAUCAAGUUGACAUUCAAGGUUAAUCAUAACUCCAGCCAAGCCCUGCCUCUUUCAGAAAGCCUGCCCUGCUUUUCACUCUGGGUCUUU